Non-coding RNA from Aedes aegypti (yellow fever mosquito), 57 nucleotides. Lineage: Eukaryota; Metazoa; Arthropoda; Insecta; Diptera; Culicidae. The record is from Rfam.
UAGCUUAGUUGGUAAAGCACUUGUCUAGCAUACAAGAGUCCUGGGUUAGAAUUCCAG